Molecule: unclassified non-coding RNA, 808 nt
Filed under: Hevea brasiliensis (rubber tree)
Lineage: Eukaryota; Viridiplantae; Streptophyta; Magnoliopsida; Malpighiales; Euphorbiaceae
Source: RNAcentral
AGAAGAAGAAGAAGAAGAAGAUGUAGUCACGGUAAUGUCUUUAGUUACCCUAAUUGUGGUGGUUUAAAAUUUUGUUCUUUACUGGGGGGACUGAGAGGUGAUAGAGGUGGAAUGGAGAAAAGGGUCCUAGGCCAUCAUAUUUGAAUUGAUUGGUGCAGCAUAAUAGAUUGAAAAACUAAAUAAAUAAAUAAAGAAUGAAUGGGCUUGAAAAAAGAAAACGAAAAUUGAAGUAGAAAAGAGAAGACUGAACAAAAAAUAAUAGAGAGAAUAGGUUUGGUUGUGUGUUUUAGGAAACCCCUAACAGUAGUGAUUUCUUCUUCCUUGUGUAGAAAGGUUGCUUGAUUUAAAUUGAUAUUGGCUUUUGUCCUUAUUUUUACUGUUUUAAUCUGAUUGGAUGUUCUUAAUGCCAUGGUAAUGCAUUUAUACAAGGAAAUUUGUACACAAAGUAAAUAAAAAUAAACCUAAGUAAUAAAUAUUAUGGAGGCAUGCCUUAUUGCGCAUCCCAUUAAGGUCAUUUUCCUUACAAUGAUUGAUUUUCCCUAUGCCUUGCAUUGUGCCAUAGUGCACCUUCAACAGCUAUACGAAUUUAUAUGGUAAAGAUUUAUUUUAAUGUUAUCCUCUUUAAUAUUUGGAAAAAAUAGAUAUCAUAGCUAAAAAUGUCAAUUUUGCCUAGCCCUGCUAGAUACCCACCUUACCUGAUUCACCACCUUUGUUCAUAUAUUAUAUAUUAUGUUAAUAUUCAUCAUUAGAUAUAAAUAUAGAACUAAUAUAUUUGAAAUUAACUUUAAAAUAUAAUUUUUAAAUAUAG